This 499-nucleotide ribosomal RNA is filed under the name Bacillus cereus. RNAcentral describes it as "bacterial SSU rRNA". It matches the Rfam family "Bacterial small subunit ribosomal RNA", at positions 426 to 915 of the family's 1533-position model. The record is from RNAcentral. Lineage: Bacteria; Bacillati; Bacillota; Bacilli; Caryophanales; Bacillaceae.
UAAAACUCUGUUGUUAGGGAAGAACAAGUGCUAGUUGAAUAAGCUGGCACCUUGACGGUACCUAACCAGAAAGCCACGGCUAACUACGUGCCAGCAGCCGCGGUAAUACGUAGGUGGCAAGCGUUAUCCGGAAUUAUUGGGCGUAAAGCGCGCGCAGGUGGUUUCUUAAGUCUGAUGUGAAAGCCCACGGCUCAACCGUGGAGGGUCAUUGGAAACUGGGAGACUUGAGUGCAGAAGAGGAAAGUGGAAUUCCAUGUGUAGCGGUGAAAUGCGUAGAGAUAUGGAGGAACACCAGUGGCGAAGGCGACUUUCUGGUCUGUAACUGACACUGAGGCGCGAAAGCGUGGGGAGCAAACAGGAUUAGAUACCCUGGUAGUCCACGCCGUAAACGAUGAGUGCUAAGUGUUAGAGGGUUUCCGCCCUUUAGUGCUGAAGUUAACGCAUUAAGCACUCCGCCUGGGGAGUACGGCCGCAAGGCUGAAACUCAAAGGAAUUGACG